RNAcentral lists this ribosomal RNA (484 nucleotides) under uncultured bacterium. RNAcentral's name for it is "partial 16S ribosomal RNA". It matches the Rfam family "Bacterial small subunit ribosomal RNA", at positions 28 to 507 of the family's 1533-position model. The record is from RNAcentral.
GUUGAACGCUGGCGGCAUGCUUUACACAUGCAAGUCGAACGGCAGCGCGGGCUUCGUCCUGGCGGCGAGUGGCGAACGGGUGAGUAAUACACCGGAACGUGCCCAGCAUUGGGGGAUAGCUCGGCGAAAGCCGGACUAAUACCGCAUACGACGAGAUGGUGAAACCGGGGGAUCUUCGGACCUCGCGCGAUUUGAGGGGCCGAUGGCAGAUUAGCUAGUUGGUUGGGUAACGGCCUACCAAGGCGACGAUCUGUAGCUGGUCUGAGAGGACGACCGGCCACACUGGAACUGAGACACGGCCCAGACUCCUACGGGAGGCAGCAGUGGGGAAUUUUGGGCAAUGGGCGAAAGCCUGAUGCAGCAAUGCCGCGUGUGUGAUGAAGGCCUUCGGGUCGUAAAGCACUUUUGGCGGGGACGAAAAGGACUGUGCCAAUACCACGGUUCGAUGACGGUACCCGCAGAAUAAGCACCGGCUAACUACGUG